Molecule: long non-coding RNA, 1165 nt
Organism: Corythoichthys intestinalis (scribbled pipefish)
Lineage: Eukaryota; Metazoa; Chordata; Actinopteri; Syngnathiformes; Syngnathidae
Exons: 3
Source: RefSeq, a predicted model, not a curated record
UCUUAGGGACAAAGCAGGCAGCCUACCUUUAGAGCUGAUUACAUCUGAGGAAGAGGAGGAGGAGGAGGAAGGAGGCGACCUGAAAGUGACUCCCCGGGUAAACAAGACGCAGCCAUCGUCAAGUUUCACACAGUGAGGAAGGCUUUUAACUUCACUCUGGACAAGCGUCUUCAUUACGAAGCGCGGCGGUUUCCUUUUCAACGGGGUGAGAUCAGCACCGUGGGGAGCAUCCAAACAUCUGAGGCCGGCCUGACCAUAUUGUUUGCCGUGCCUUUUAAUCUGGUUCAUAGUGCAGUUGCUCUGAAGAAAAAUGCCACAGGACUCCAACAUCUCAGAGGAGAGAGGAGAUAAUCAAUUUUCUGACGUUGGGAAUGCCCCCAAAACAUAUGCACGUUUACAGUCUUCCUCCCCGAAAUUGACACCUAACCUGAACUUCCCGAGGCACCAGGGUAGCUUGUUUCAAAACACAAGGGUUCCAGUGAUAGGUUGAAGCUGCUACUUGCACGGCCAUUUCGUAGCUUUGCUGUUGCAACAGCAGGUAGUCAUCACUCCUCUUCAAGUCAUAUUCGUGUUGAACAUUUAUGCCGUGAGGUGAGGUGUUCGUUUCGCAUCUUUGGGACGUGUUGAAAGUCCGAUUGAGUGUAAAGUGCUUAGUUGCCGCCACGUUUUGUGGCCAAAUUGACAGCGUUAUAGACCAGGUACUUCUGGGAUGUGCGUGCGCAUUCGCGGCCGCCCCCACCUUUGUGUUUAUUGCACUGUGCAAUUUAUUUGUGUGUUGUUGAUUAUUGUGCAGUCAAUUUGCAUUGUUUUACAUUGGCAUUGAUAUUAACCCUAACCCCUAAACCCUAACCCGAAUAGGGUUGCGCAUCAAACAUCAAUGGGAUCUGGGAUUAACACUAGGGUUCUCCCGGAACCGUUCAUGUGUUUUUAUUUUAAUUCCAAGUUUCGAUGCCUCGACCGCGGACCGGAAAAAUUAGCUGCCAAAACACCACGAAGAAGAAGCCACAUGAAGUGUUUGUGCAUUGCAACUUGAUUUAUAUCGUUGCCACUGUGCGGCGAUGCUCAAAAGUUUGGCUCAACUUCACAAAGAACAAUGACCAGUCAGCUCACUGCAACAUUUGCAACACAGCUAUAUCACGCAAAGCUGGUUGCACGACCGAUAUGA